Long non-coding RNA from Echinops telfairi (small Madagascar hedgehog), 863 nucleotides. RefSeq lists it as uncharacterized. The transcript is spliced from 2 exons. NCBI's taxonomy places the organism in Eukaryota, Metazoa, Chordata, Mammalia, Afrosoricida, Tenrecidae. The record is from RefSeq and is a predicted model, not a curated record.
GGUAUAGUGAAUACUUUUUCACCAACAUCAUAAUUCAAAGUUCCUGAGAAGUAAAAUGUAAAACGUUUUAUAAAAUCUGUGCAGCCGAAUACUUACCUACAACAGAAAGACCGACUUACAAAGAUACGGUAACAUUCAAUACGAUGAAAAAGGAAGUCGUCAGUUGCUGUUGAGUUGAUUCUGAUGCAUGGAGACCCGAUGAGGGGCCACAGGCCGCUUCCUGGCUUUCAUCUUCUGGAAGCAAGUCACCAGGCCUUUCUGCCCAGGAGCCUCUCAGAAGGACAAAAGAGACCACACCCUCCCUGCCCUCAAGUCCACUCCAGCUCCUCAUGGCCCUCUAGCACAGAGUGGCCGGCCCAGUGGGUGUCAGAGGCUGUGGGUCUUUUCUGACACAGAAAGCCUCAUCUACUUCCCUUGGAGCACCUGGCGGUUUCGAACUGCUGAGUUAGCAGCCUCACUCGUCACCUGCUAGCUACAUCACGAGGAGCCUCUACCAGCCUUCAGUAAAGCAGCCCAGCACUUACUUGUGUGCAGUACCCAUAUCUGCUUCAAACAUACAAUUAAAGUUCUGAAAUAGGAACAAUGUCCAGUCAUCUUCACUUCUCUGUAGAAUGUCAUGUUAAAAUCCAAAUUCCAAUGGGUCUUAAUUUUCCCUGCCUCACGGCAGUGUUGUCAGAAAACCCAGGCAACCUGGACAGGAUUUUCACUUUCACAUCAGCGCCCCUUGCUCCAAGUUCAGAGGAGUAAUGACCCUCAAUUUUGUUUUGGUAAUGAGGUCCUAAGGCUUUUCUCAUGUACAUGCAGGCUAUCUGGCAGGUGAGAAAGCAGUUGUAUUAUUUCAAUUAAAAAUAAUAAUAAUGAUA